CUAAGCACUUCUCAAAAUCAAGUUACAGAGGUAAUUUACUUUUCAUUUUUCUCCUUGUCUAGGUCCUAUCCUCAACAGUUCCCCCAGCAGGGCAAUCAGGGCCAGUUUGGACCCAUGAUGAUUAACAACUCUAUGGGGGGACCCGGGCCGGUCAGCGGGGCUGGUGCAGGACAGAUGGCUCAAAUGCCAGGACAGAUGCAGGGUCAAAUGGGAAUGAACUCCAUGGGGAUGGGCCGAAUGCCAAUGGGACCUGACCAGAAGUAUUGCUGAGGACCUGUGGCUCGUGACAGAAUCUGGACCUUUCAGCUGUGGCAGAUUUAGCUGAACAAGGAGAGGAACUGGACGCAGACGCACACACAUAUUCACCACACACACAGUAGAGUUCCCCCAGCAUAAAUUUUGACACAAAGAACUCAGCACAACAUGCUGCUCGCCCUAGAGGGUGUGGGCUGAAAGGACAAAUGAUUUGUGCUAGGUUUCAUCCGCACACAUGUAUACAGAAAUCCGAUACGGCUGUGUGUUUGCACGUGCGUUUGUGUGUGACCUGAAGCUGUCAGGCAGUAUUCAGCGUCACAGCCAGACUGCAGAACAGGACUACGGUACAACUGGCUGUGGCUGCACUUUACCACAAGGCUUCUGUUUCGGGGGGUGAGAGAUUGAUGCAAUAUUUCUUCAUUACAGCCUUACUAGAGAUUCAAUGCCUUCACAACAAUGUUUUGUUUUUUUUUCUUCCUUAUCCUUUGGAUGCGCCUCAUUCUAAAGUCAUUGGAAGCUAUAAGCACACAGUUUACUAUGUUAUGCAGAUUGGAGCAAUAACUCUUGCCUUUAUGCUUUAGACUGUACCUGAGCAUCAUAAUCCCUGUUAUAAGCAAACAAAUGGUACUGCAGUAUUAGAUGUCUCAAAUGUUCUCUGUGAAUAUGAAUUGUAAAUAUUCUACAAUAUAUUAUCAAACAUGCUUUUUAAAGGCCCGUUCUUGCACAAAGUAUGAGACCUGGUUGUAUUUUUGUGUCCCAUAGGUCAAUGCUGAUCUGAUUUCCUUUUUUUUUGUUUUUUUUUUGUUUUCAUUUACAGAAUGCUUUUUAAUUUUGGAAACAAAACAAUAAGGUUAUGUAUUACGUUUUUUAGGCACUUUUUAACUUGCGACGAGUAUCUGAUGCGUUGAAGGUUUGAGCUUUGACGUCAUCAGCAGUGUUCCCCCCUCCCAGGAGCAGCAGCAGCUCUGUCAGUCCAGCUUUUUUUUUUAUUUUUUAUUAUUAUUAUUAUUAUUCACACGAUGUUCUGUUUCGACUGUUAUCAGCUUGCUGAAUCUACCUUUUCAACAUGCGCAAUCCAAAGAUGUUUUUCCACAUGUAUAGUUUCUGAGGUUUCUGGUGUACAUUUUUUACAUUGUGUUAUAUUAUUCUGAUGGUAAAUGGGUACAUAUCAUUGGAUCUGUAAAAGCUUUGGGUGGUUAUGGACAUGAGAUGGAUUGUUCCACAGUGGGAAAGUGAGGUGCAGUGGGGAGAGGACUGGAAAAAAAAAACACGCAUGUUUUGUUGUGAUGUAGAAAAAAAACAAAACAAAAAAAAAACAUCCACUUUAAGACAUAUCAAUAUCUCAUCUAUUUUUCAGGAAACAACUUCAUCUUAUGUCCAGACUUUGUUACUUCAGGAGAAAAAGAAAUAAAAAAUAAAAAAAAUAUCUUGAAGUUUGAAUGAAGUGCAAAAAAGAGGCAGGAGAUCAUUUGGUUUGUUUUUCUUUCUUUGGAGGUAAGAUAAGCUGUUAUUUUACAGGAUGUAUAUUACAGAUUUUUUUUUUUUUUUCUCUGAUGUUGAUAUUGAUAUAAAAUACAAAUUUCUAUUUAAACACUCCUGGCUCUCCAAUUAUUUACUGUUCAUAAGCUGUGAUGCCUGUGUGCAGUUCUCUACACGUCAGUAAAUAUCAGCGGGUGCGCUGCGUUGUCAGAAUGAUUAGUUUGAUCGUACAAAAUGGAUGCGAGGAGGAGGGGCGCUUCUGCUGUCAAGUUACUGAAAAU
Astatotilapia calliptera (eastern happy) is the source of this 2015-nucleotide long non-coding RNA. The record is from Ensembl. NCBI's taxonomy places the organism in Eukaryota, Metazoa, Chordata, Actinopteri, Cichliformes, Cichlidae.